GCCAUCAGAUCCGCCGUUUCAUAGGAGACCCCACCCCCCUGUAUUUCAUCUUAUUUGAACCAUACACCCCCGAAACCAACGACCCUUUUCUCCUUCAGCACACCCAGCGACCAGAACUCCCCAUCGCUGUUCUUCUUCUUCUCACCAUCAUGCCCACUGAAAAUUGACCCUUUUCUUUCUCCAAAACCAGCGACCACCCCGUCUCCAGCCAUUCCCAACAGCCGAAACUCACCCCUAAUUUUCCAAAAUUUGCAGCAGUCGACACCCGCACUCCAAGAAACGAAUCAUAUUUAGAUGUUUUUCAUUUCUUGUCCAGCGAGCUCGCUGGAAAAUGAGUUGCACACCAGCGCCGCUCACACACACGACAACUACCGGAAAAUCUCCCCAAAAAUAGUCCAAAAGCAACCCUAAAACAGCUCGUCUUUCCAGCGAAAAUUAGCUACAAGACCAGCUGAAAAACAACACAAACCAACAUCAAAAAUCAGUACUGAAACCCAGCUGAAAACGUUCCAAAAUCGCCUCAAAGUUCUGUCUAUCUCCGAGUUCGAGGUUGCGGAUCCGAGUUCCGGUUGCGGUGUGGUCAUAAUUCAAUCGGAGCGGAUUAUUUGGUGUACACUCUGCUGUAAUUUUAAUUAAAUUUGUUUGAAGUUCUCUUUAAAAAAAAGAUCUGUUCCUAUUUCUAUGUUUUUUUCUGCUUUAGUCAUUUUCUGUUUUCAAUUCAAUGUUCCAUUGCUCUUAACGUGUUGGGUCUGUUUGGGUAGUCCCAUGUGAUGAUAAAGGUGAAAUCAAAGUAGCUUUUAGAAUUAAGCUUGUUGAAUCCUUUCUGACUGAGCUACUGUUUUAGUAGAUUCAAAAUUAGCUAGUUUGGUGAUGAUUUGUUUAUGUUGGUUUAGUGAUUUGAACAAUGGAAUUGUGAAGUCCAAGAUCAAACUUCUGCUCAUUUCAUUUUCUUCUCGACAUAUGAAUUUGGGUUAUCAAAUAAAGUGAUUGAAUGAAAAACCGUAGACUUUUAUGUAAUGUUUUUAGAGAAGAUGAAUUGUUUCAUUACUGAAGUGAUUAAAUAAUUGUAGCAAUAGUUGUGCUUAAUGUCACGACCCAAACUGGAGGGCCAUGACUAGCACCCGACCAUACUUGCCGAGCUCCAACACACAUUUUAUCUAACCUUUUUUUUAUUAUCUUUUAGGGUUGACGAGAUCAAUAUAAAUGGUAGACAUGGAUCAUAGACAACCAACAAUAAAAUAUGAUGGCAUGAACAUACAUAACAUGAGAUGACCAGACAAUCAAGAAACUACAUAUAAGGUACGAGCUACCACGAUACCAUGAAAGACUAUACAACAAAAGCUAGCCCCAAGGCAUACCAAACUAUACAUGAGUCGACACCUGUCUAUGAGCCUCUAAAUGAACAUAAGUGUUGCAACAUAGCCGGAACAAGGGCCCAACAUACCCAUAAUGUCUAUACAAAAAUGCAUAUCAAGACCACGGCAAGUCCGGAGAAGGGAUCUCGCCAAUCACUGCUGAACUGGACAACCUAAUGUGGUAGGGGAGCUGCACCUGCCUGUCUAUCAUGGCCUACAAUACGACAUGCAUCGUCCACAAACAAAAGGACGUCAGUACGAAUAAAGUAUGUAAGGCAAGGAACCAUAAAUACGAACAUCAAUGUAAGUAGGGAUAAAGAAUAUGNNNN
This 1684-nucleotide long non-coding RNA is filed under the name Nicotiana tabacum (common tobacco). Its description in RNAcentral is "long non-coding RNA (NTAB_LNC002655)". The record is from RNAcentral. Lineage: Eukaryota; Viridiplantae; Streptophyta; Magnoliopsida; Solanales; Solanaceae.